CAGUAGCCACGGUAAUACGUAGGGGGCAAGCGUUAUCCGGAAUUACUGGGUGUAAAGGGAGCGUAGACGGUUAAACAAGUCUGAAGUGAAAUGCCGGGGCUCAACCCCGGAGCUGCUUUGGGAACUGUAGAACUGGAGUGUCGGAGGGGUAAGCGGAAUUCCCAGUGUAGCGGUGAAAUGCGUAGAUAUUGGGAGGAACACCGGCGGCGAAGGCGGCUUACUGGACGACAACUGACGUUGAGGCUCGAAGGCGUGGGUAGCAAACAGGAUUAGAUACCCCAGUAGUCCCUGUCUCUUAUAC
This 301-nucleotide ribosomal RNA is filed under the name uncultured bacterium. RNAcentral's name for it is "partial 16S ribosomal RNA". It matches the Rfam family "Bacterial small subunit ribosomal RNA", at positions 509 to 807 of the family's 1533-position model. The record is from RNAcentral.